UUUAAAUCCUUUAACGAGGAACCAUUGGAGGGCAAGUCUGGUGCCAGCAGCCGCGGUAACUCCAGCUCCAAUAGCGUAUAUUAAAGUUGUUGCGGUUAAAAAGCUCGUAGUCGGAUUUCUGUCUUCGGCCGGGCGGCGCCGCUCUGAAUCAAGGGUGUUGCGUUUCACGCUCUGGGAGCCCGGGUGUCAAAGCCCGACUCUCUUCACGGUCGGACAACAUGGCCGGAGUGGUGGCCGGUGGGUCGCGUUGUAUCGGUUUGUCUUUUUUUUGUUUGUUUCCCUAUCAACGGGGAGCGAAGAACUGAAAGCACUCAUUUGACGCGAUUCGCUCCACCCAGUCAAUCGUUCGGGGUGCCCUUCACCGGGUGUCUCGGGCGGCCGGCAACGUUUACUUUGAACAAAUUAGAGUGCUCAAAGCAGGUGUAUCCCAACGCCUGAAUAUCGCAGCAUGGAAUGAUGGAAUAGGACCUCGGUCCGAUUUUGCUGUCUUUUUUCUUUUGGACCCGAGGUAAUGGUCAAUAGAGACGGACGGG
RNAcentral lists this ribosomal RNA (533 nucleotides) under Daphnia exilis. RNAcentral describes it as "bacterial SSU rRNA". It matches the Rfam family "Eukaryotic small subunit ribosomal RNA", at positions 524 to 886 of the family's 1831-position model. The record is from RNAcentral. Lineage: Eukaryota; Metazoa; Arthropoda; Branchiopoda; Diplostraca; Daphniidae.